RNAcentral lists this transfer RNA (92 nucleotides) under Xanthomonas citri pv. fuscans. RNAcentral describes it as "tRNA-Val". Lineage: Bacteria; Pseudomonadati; Pseudomonadota; Gammaproteobacteria; Lysobacterales; Lysobacteraceae. The record is from RNAcentral.
UUGCGGCCUGGGCCGGUACUGCAGGCGCGGCGUCACCUGCCGGAGCGGCCGGUGCACUGGCCGGCGUCGGUGCGGCGGCUGGCGCCGCAGGC